Long non-coding RNA from Lates calcarifer (barramundi perch), 1713 nucleotides. RefSeq lists it as uncharacterized. NCBI's taxonomy places the organism in Eukaryota, Metazoa, Chordata, Actinopteri, Centropomidae. The transcript has 3 exons. The record is from RefSeq and is a predicted model, not a curated record.
GGAGAGGGAGGAGCAGAAGAAUCAAGCGGGCAACGUGGAGAGGCAGCAACUCGACGUGUUGGAGAGUGGCCUCAGACUACGCCGCGUUAGUUGUGUUUUAACCCUGACUGUAUGAUCGUGAAUGACUCGUCAGUCAUCCUUCUUUUGAUAGAGUGAGUUUUGGGACUGUUUACUGCAGACACAGCAUGUGUUUAUCUCUACUAUGAAGAAGCUACCUGAGUUAGCUUAGCUAUCGCGGGAGAGAAGUCGCCUGCAUUCUUCGCAUUCCAGCUGGUAGGGACAUCGGGAGUGGACCGCUGACCUGUGGAGCUUCAGCGGAUGUUACUGGUGUGUGUCGGGUGCAGAGGAAGGACCUUCUCGCUGUUGCUACGUGAUCCUGGGGAUGGUGCUACAUAUCGCUGCUGUGCGGAUUCAGCAAGCUCUCUAAACUGCACAAACCUGUAGAGAAUUCCACGUCUGCCUGAUAAACCACAUAUACAAGGUAUCCAUCAGUUCCCCACUGGAGAGCCGAUGAAUGCAACAAGCAGCACUUAAGAAUGGGACUAUUUGUAUGAGGGAUUCUUGCGUGAGGCACAUUGGUUCUGUUUCCUUGACAAGCUCAUUUUGCAAUUUGGCAGGAAAUCAUGGGACCCAUUAAAAUAAGCAUUACCAUGUUCUUAAUAUAUAUGGCUCAGAAUUUCCAUCAAAUGAACCCAAGCAUAAAAUCUACCAGUGCAUGUCUCAACUCACUGAGCAUGUAAAUGAAAACCUCUGCUAAGGUAAUAAAGUGCAUUAUUAAUACAAUACUGCAAUACCUGUUUUUUACUCCUGUAGUUGCACUGGUACAUUUGAGUAGCUCCUGUGUAUCACCUGCAGUAUUGCUGUUUGUACACAAUGUGAAAGACAGUAGAGAACUUCAUUAGGGCCCUGGCAGAGAGAGCGGUGAUCUGAUGAAGUGUCGCCUGAGUGAGCAGGCUUUGCUGCAAAGUCACAGCAUCACCUCUUUCUCCAACAAAGACAAACAGAGAGACAUGCAGGAAAAAAAAUGUUGCACCUGUCUGAAUCUCUAUAAGUUUAGCUGCAUCUGUCCAGAGCUUGACUGUAUUUCUCAUCAAGUGUUGAUCCAGUUUUGUUGUUGGCUCUGAGUUUGUGAGUUUUCAGUUUGUAUCAGCAAAGAAGAGGUGUAGCACAGUGCCUCUCUGAAUGUGCCAGCUAGCAUCAGGGCCUAUCUGUGUAGGGCGCAGGCUGCUGGAUCAGCAUUUAGCUCAAAGAGAAAAAAAACUCUGUUCUCAGGCCAUGAAGCUCAUGAGAGGCCACAUGGGGUGAAGGCUACAUACUGGAAUCUCUUCUCAUUGUUCUACCUCCUAGUUUUCCUCCAUCUCCUUUGUGUGUGUUAGGUUUUCUCAGUUUUUCUGCCAUUUCUGUGCUUAUCGCUCUCCUCUUUUCCUCCUCUUAAAUCCCUCACUUUCAUCUCUAGUGCUCAUUUCAAAUAUGAGUUUUUUUUCCUUCCCAUGAAAUCAGAAACCUCUCGCCUUUUUUUAAUUCAACUUAAGACGGCAGUAAAGUCAGCAUCCUUUCACAUCAGCAUGUCAGUUAUAGCCCCCAGAGCCAGCACCGGUUGCCAGAAAAGAGGAGAAAAGCAGACUCUGUAAGGGCCACUUCAACAUAGCUUGUAAUCUUCCCAAGAGUUCACCUUGAUGUAAAUGUGCAGCUAAUCAAUACACAACAUUAAAG